CAAUAGCGUAUAUUAAAGUUGUUGCGGUAAAAAAGCUCGUAGUUGGAUUUCUGUUGAGAGCGACCGGUCCAUACCAUGUAUGCGUAUCUGGCUUGCUCUCGGCAUCCUCUCGAUAGACGUUACUGCGCUUGAUUGCGUGGUGCGGAUCUCGGGACUUUUACUUUGAGGAAAUUAGGGUGUUCACGGCAGGCUUUCGCCAGAAUACAUUAGCAUGGAAUAAUACUAUAGGAUCUUGGUUCUAUUUUGUUGGUUUCUAGAAUUGAGAUAAUGAUUAAUAGGGACAAUUGGGGGCAUUCGUAUCAACACGUCAGAGGUGGAAUUCUUGGAUUGUGUUGCGACGAACUACUGCGAAAGCAUUUGCCAAGGAUGUUUUCAUUGA
Molecule: ribosomal RNA, 379 nt
Filed under: uncultured eukaryote
Lineage: Eukaryota
Description: partial 18S ribosomal RNA
Rfam family: Eukaryotic small subunit ribosomal RNA
Source: RNAcentral